AAUUAACCAUGCAUUGUAGAGUAUUUAAUGCACAUGCGGGUAUGACAAAUUAACAAGGCAGGCAGGCAGGCCUCCUGUGGGCACACAUCCCCAGGAACUGUACAAUGUGGAAUACUGUAACAUUAGAGCAAACGCACAAGGUGCCUGAAUAACAAAACAAAGGUUGAGAGAGGUGUAUUCUGCUAUGAGAGCGCGGAGAGCUCGCGCUCUCUACGGCUUUCUGAGGGGUAUGAAAGCUCCUACUUGAUGCUGCCGGCCUACACAGGAAGGAGUACUGGAAGGACUGAGGAGAUCUUGUCUUAAUGUACAGACAGACCAGGAGGCAAGCUGGCAGCAGAGAGAGGUCACCUGGGCCUAAGAGGGGAGGCCUACUCUUAACAUCACACAUCCUGCAGGAUACUCACUGUAAACAAUGGCUAACCCCACCCCCAAUCUCCAGCUUCAGCCAGAAAUUGACCUGCCACCACAGUGGAUAUGGACAGAGAAAGCUGCGAUGUAGCAGGUUUCUUGGCAAGGACAAGACCUAGCGAGCGGAUUGCCUAUCCGUGUUUGGGGGCGAUUAGAACCAGAUGGGUCAGGUUGUGCCCUCCCGCCAGUCUAGGGCAGUGGAGUGACUGUCACUCAGACCCAUCUGGGGGGGGGGGCAUGUUAUGGCACUGAGGGUGUAAGUGUAAACAGUCUCCGGUAUAUGACUGACACUCAGUUUUGGUGGUAGAUCUGACAUCCUCCAUUUAACUCAGAAACAUAGAGGAAUACAGCUAGAGCCAGCUAGAGAGAAAGGGAAACAUGCUGGAGAGAGACUGGAGAAGAGAAAAAUAUUGAUUUAGAAAAAUUAGCACCCAGGGUAGUGAGAUGGCAGGAAGAAGGGAGAUACACAUUUAGAAGAGGCCUUUUAAAGAUUGUCAUGAAACAUAGAUGCAUUUUAGCUUUGUCUACACCUGAUGAGGUUUAAAGAUAAGCACACAUAGAGAGGGAAGGGGGAAGGAGGUGCAGUGGUGACUUACCCUUCUCUUCUCCUUCCUCUCAUUCUUUCAUUCCGCCACUCUGCCGAUCAGGUUUCUCCCGGUCUAUCAGCUGAGUGGUCGUGUGGGGUUUGAUCAAUGGCAGGAAACCAGCGGAUCAAAUGAGUUUUAUGGACUUGGGGACUAUGAAGAGACCCCUGGUGGCAUGUCUUGUGGGACAUUCUCAAAUUGAAUUAAGGUCCUGUUCUGUGCUGCACCCCCUCGGACCCCUUCGAGAGCCCCCCUGAACCCCCUUGGCCCGGUCCUGUUCCCCUCAUCCAGCCGCCUCGGACUAAUUAAAACCGGUGUGGCCUUGUCUUCGCUGGAUUAACCCUAACGAGGAUCCACUGACUCCACCAGCAUGUGCCUCUUGAUGAGAGAGAGAGAGAGAAACAGAGACAGACAGAAAGAGAAAUGGGAGGAUUUGUCCAGGCAACCUUAGCCUUGAAACCCAACACUUAAUUCACUACAGAUGAUACAGAAAAGAUGGAAGAGAGAGAGAGAAAGAGACAAAUAUACUUAUGUUGAUAGUUUAAAUCACUAGUGUGUGUAGUGUUUUAAAAACUGUUAGUGAACUCAUCGAAAUGUGGCCUGAUUGUGAAGAGAGUCAUAAAACGGACCUCUUGUCAGCCCUCUAUGAAUCCAUCUGAUUCCAUCAUACAGAGAGAUGAAUGCCAAUUCUCUUUCUUUGUGUGUGUGCGUGGGUGCCAGGGGCAGAGCAAAAUUCAAUUCUCUGGCUUUGAUAAUGCAUUAAUAAUAAAAUGCAAUGUUAAAACAUUU
Salmo salar (Atlantic salmon) is the source of this 1781-nucleotide long non-coding RNA. RefSeq lists it as uncharacterized. Lineage: Eukaryota; Metazoa; Chordata; Actinopteri; Salmoniformes; Salmonidae. The record is from RefSeq and is a predicted model, not a curated record.